Molecule: long non-coding RNA, 5253 nt
Organism: Dicentrarchus labrax (European seabass)
Lineage: Eukaryota; Metazoa; Chordata; Actinopteri; Moronidae
Exons: 3
Source: RefSeq, a predicted model, not a curated record
UUCCUGCUCUGCUGGGCUCGUUUACUCGCACACUCCCUCACCGCCUCCUGGAAGCCUUUCACCCACAGCCAUAAAAGGAGAGAGCCACUUCUUUGGGUGCAGAAGUUUUCCUGUCUCCAGGAAACUCUCACUGGGAUGUUGGAUGUUUGGAAAGAAUCAGUGAAAGAGUCUGGUUGAGCCUUCAGGGCUCUAUUCACAGCCCGCUUUCACUUCCUGUUCCAUUGUGAGCGGUCUGAGGAGGAGGAGCUCCAGGACUCUGUGGACUCUGUGGACUCUGAGGACUCUGAGGACUUCUGGACACAAGCGGACCAGGCUAGUGGGCUACAAUGGAAACCGCUAACUGAUGCAGCUUUUUAAGGCUUCAAAGUGUGAUUAUUUUAGAACAAUGAAUCAAUCAAUCAAUCAAUCAAUCAAUCAAUCAGCAACUAUUUUAAUGAUCAACUUUUUAAAAGCAGAUUGUGAUGAUUGUGGCGUUUUAGACGUUUUUAUUGAUAUAAACUGAAUGUCUGAGUUUUGGAAUAUUGGUCAAACUAAACGUUUGAAGACUAUUUUCUGUUUAUGGACAAAUCUAAUAUAGAUUAUCACUUAAUAAUAAUUUAAAUAAUAAUUAGUUAUAGCUAUAAAUUCAUUCAUUAUUUUCUUACUCAACCAUUUUAACUUAUGUACUUUAUGUGUUGUGUCUUUGAGUAUCAUAAAAUAUAAAUAAAAUGUAUUAUUAUUUCUAAUUUCACCAAUGCUGUGGACCAAAGUUCAGCUGAUGAGCUGCAGUGUUGUGAGGAUCUUAAAGGCGGACCACGCAGGAGUCGGUUGCUGUCUGUCAACUCAAACAGCCCCGCACAGACAGACAGACAGACAGACAGACAGUGGUGUAACCCAGAGUCCUGAACUCAAAGCCUGCACACAGCAAAAGCAGAAAAUACAGGCAGAGGCUGCAGCGUCUCCGCAGACACACACACACCGUCAAACAGACCGUCACACACACACACACCGUCACACACUUGUAGAGGCACAAUAUGUCUGUCACCAGGGACGGUGAUACACUAACUGCCAGAGUUGUAAAAUGUUUAUCGGACACUGAAACAGUGCAGUCUGGUCCUGGAUCACGUUUCAUUGUGUCACCAGGAGCUGAACAUCUGGGUCAGCACUCUUUAGGAAUCAUAUUUAAGGAUUAAUCUGGUGUUGUAAACGCUCUCUUCUCUGAAACAGGAUGGGGGGAACGGACUCUGGGGACGUUGUUGUGUCAAAAUAAAGUUAAAUUAUUAGUGCGAAAUAGGGGUGGGCGAUAUGGGCAAAAAAUAAUAUCUCAAUAUUUUUGGGGAUUUUGGCGAUAUCGAUAAUCAGUCGAUAUCCUUUAAAAUGUGAUUAGAAUUGUCUGAGCUGGACUUGUGUCCACCAAACGCGUUUACAGCGCUGAGAGAGCUCAAAAACUCAUUUUCCAAGCGCCCAGCGGUGUUAAAAGUUGAACAGAUUUCAACUUGAAGCGCUCUGAGCGCUGCGCUGACAUCUUUUUACCGCUGAAGGCGCUUAGCGCUCUGAACGCUGAAGCCCAUAGGACCCACGUCUCGGCACUAAAUCAUCUGAAGUACCGGUAGCUUCAGGGACUGGAGGUGUUUGCAUUUUCUCUCUACCAUCACAACGCGCUGCUAAACUGUUGCAAGGAGGAUGCUAGCGAGAGGUCACGUGAUCACGUCAUGUGAUCACGUAGGCCCACUAGUCAUGUGACUGAAUCCUGCCAUGCUGUAGAGAGCGCUGCUGUACCGUGUAUUAAUGGAUGUGAGGAGUUUCCGCGGGCGUUUCAUUGUUUUUGUCGAAGUAAUUUAAAUACUCGAUAAUGGAAAUUUGCACAUCGUCAAAACAACAAUGACGAUAUUAUCGCAAACGAUAUAUAUCGCCCACCUCUAGUGCAAAACAAUAAAAACUGCUCUACUAUGAUCAGACUUAUCUACCAGACCAACCCUCUCUCCGUGCUGCCUGCGUCACAUUCAGUUUAAAUAUUUACAAUCUUCAGCCUAAAAUAGAAAUGUGUCUCUUUAGAGCUGCACACAAAGCUGAGAGAGGACGAAGACAGAAAGCAGUGAGGAGUGUCAGUCAGCAUCCGUCUGCAGAGUCACUCUCUCUCCAUAUUGAUGAGGGCCGAUCCUGUCUCUCCUUUCACUGAUGCCUCUCUGAGCUGGGACCAAAAUCUGCUCAUCACAUGCAACCCCACAGAGUGGCUGUGAACCGGGUUGCACCGGCGGCCGCACCCAGAACAACAGAUCACAUGUGAGCCCAAAUCAGCUUACGUCUCAGUGAGGCAGAAUAACCACAGAAGAGAGAACUGGUGUUCCUGGCUGUAAGAGAUGUGAGACGCCAUCCUGUGUGACCUUUCAAACGGAGUCAGAAACCAGAGCUCCACCACCUCCCGGCUGCUCCACUAAUAGUCCUCAGCUCAGGUUCCAGGUGCUGCUGACUGAGGUGGAGCAUUUAAAGGGGUUCAUGGAAAACCAGGGGCGGCAGCAGUGCGGCGUGUUGAGGGUGGCAGACAGUGAGCAGCGUGAAUGGAUCCGAGGGGAGAAGAGGCCAGCAGCUCAGCCUGAGGAUUAACACUGCAGUGUGUUCAAACACAGAGGAUCAACCACGUCACACUACCGACUCCGAGGACCAGAAACAGACAGACUCACACCGACAGCCAGCAGACUCCAUUUCAUGCCUCUUACAUCGUGUGUGUCUGCACGUACACACACACCAGCUGAGGAACCUGAGGCGGUCAGCUGUGCGUCCACGCGUCUGCAGUCAUGAUCUUAAGUUCAUCACUCGGGCCUCAUUUAUAGAAACGUUCUUAGACUUUUACUUGGACUCUGAAGAUCAUUUCUUAAGACAGUUCUACGCAGUCCCUCUGUAACGUACACACCUGUGAUCAGUGGUUUAUUCUUUUCAGUAAACUUAUUUUAGUGAGAAAUGAUGAUUAUAUUGAAGUAGUCUGCCUCUCAUUCCCCCCAAUAAACAGAGCUUUAUAGUGAGAGAGCAGCAUAUAUAUUACAUUCAGAUAUAUUACUGUAUCGUUAAAGAACAUUUUCCUGCUGUAAUCUUUCUCUUUUAGCUCUAACUCAGCGCCGUGAUCACACUGUUCAUGAAGUAAGAGUUUAUAAAGAACUACUCAUACGUGGUGAAUCAUUAAGAUCCAAAAUUGAUCUGAAGCUCGUUUUAUAAAUGCGGCCCCAGGCCUUUAGACCUGACUGGAUCUGGACUCACAGAAGGGAUCACAGCGUGGGCAGAACAGCGCUGAGACAGCUGGGCUGUAGAGACUGUGUGAGAUCUCUUACUAGAUAAAAACCAGGAUAUGUGAAAUGGAGCAGAAUCAGCCGGCAGGAUGCGGCUCAGAGACCCAGAUAUCGUGACCAGUCUCUAAAAACACAGCAAAUUAGACUAAUCCCUUCUGAUCAGCAGCUGGACUGCCAGAGAGCCUAGAUCCUCAGGAAUGUGUGGCCUACUUCCACAGCAGAGGAAACGGACCAAAAAUAACUCGGACUGGUCACUCAGCAGGCCUGAAAGUCCAGAUACAGGCCUCACAGUCCAGAUACAGGCCUCACAGUCCAGAUACAGGCCUCACAGUCCAGAUACAGGCCUCACAGUCCAGAUGCAGGCCUCACAGUCCAGAUGCAGACCUCAGAGUCCAGAUGCAGGCCUCAGAGUCCAGAUGCAGGCCUCACAGUCCAGAUGCAGACCUCAGAGUCCAGAUACAGGCCUCAGAGUCCAGAUACAGACCUUUGAGGAUUUAAAAUGAUCUUCUGCUUAUUUAAAUUCCAAAGAUUCAGUAUUUUACCAGGAACUGUAUCCAGUGCAGAAAAAACUCUGAGAGCAUUAAAACCAUGUGGCAGAAUAGAUCCUCACUAUGGAAACUAAUUAGAUCCAAUAACUGGAUCUUAUUAGCAACUGAGUACAUAUCAGAAGAUUAGAUUGUAUUAUUAUUACGUCAUUUAGGUGGUCACAUUUAAAAAAUAUUAUCAUUUUUCAGGGUUCGUCUUAAAAAGACCAGCGUGAAGGAUUUAGCGAAUGAGCCACAGAACUGAAGCAGGGUCGACCGACGGAGGCCGGCUGAUGACCAGCUGUUCUGACCAGGACUCUGACUCUGGGGAUGAAGACACGGCGGGUUCAGGCAGCGGUUAUUAUUAUUAAAAUAAUAUCAUCAACAUGCUGAGUACUGACUACUAGGCGACUAGGAAAACCUUUAGUCGGGGCAGCCCCAGCAGAAACAUGGCGGACUCCAUCAGAAGAGGACCCGCUCCCUCUGUAGAUACAAACGUCUCAUCGUAAGGUAAAAAACACUAAUGAAAACACACCUAUGGAUAAUACAUUACUGCCAACAGAUCCUCCUCAGUGCUACACUCUGGACCUUUAGGGGACAAAGAUAAAAACAAAUGUGUGAAUGUUGAGAAGCGUUCUGUCAGAUUAAAGUUUAAUCUGAUCUUAAAACAGACGAAACCAACAGGAACUUUCAUUUCUAUUAUUCAGGAAAGCCUGAAUCGCUUCUCAAAUGUCGACUCAAAGCUCUGGGAUUCCCCUGUGUGCGUGUGUGUGUGUGUGUGUGUGUGUGUGUGUGUGUGUGUGUGUGUGUGUGUGUGUGUGUGCUGCAGCUGUUCACAUCUGCUGUGUAAUGAGAUACACUUUCACAACAGAAGCCUUUAUGUUAAUGUGCUAAUCUGUUUUCUCAGACAGAUCUUCCAGGAAAACAAAAGAUUUAACAACUUUUUUCUGUUCUGAGGAAAACUACCCAGCUGCAUCCUGAGGAACUUUCUUUCCUUCCACAGAACUCCUUAAAAUAGAAAGUGGAAUUCUGAGCCAAUUGUGGUGUUUCGUAACCCUGUCAAUCACGGGAAUGCAUGAAUUAUAAUCAUCAGCCUUAUUCAUGUUGAUUCAACAGGCUGCAGCUCCACAACAGGACCUGGUCACCGACAGACCUGACAGCAGCUGAACCUUCAGUCCUGCUUACAGCGACACGUCGGUGACAUUUCAGUGUGAGAAACCAGAUCCAAACCACAACCUCAGCAGCGACCUCACAACUUGUGACUCACUUCAGACAACCUGGAGAUGGUUACAGACCAACUGCAGCACUUCUGGUGGACUGACGAGCAUUGUCUAGAACGGGUGUGAUCACCAGCGGCCACGGCCCCGUAAUACAAGAAAGUCUGUGACCAGGGAGGAAGCCAUUUUUUCCUGCUACACAUGAGCCAAAAAGCAAGCCCCGCCCAACUCGCUGUACAUCCCCACUCAAGU